RNAcentral lists this ribosomal RNA (459 nucleotides) under uncultured bacterium. RNAcentral describes it as "partial 16S ribosomal RNA". It matches the Rfam family "Bacterial small subunit ribosomal RNA", at positions 338 to 795 of the family's 1533-position model. The record is from RNAcentral.
CCUACGGGUGGCUGCAGUGAGGAAUAUUGGUCAAUGGCCGAGAGGCUGAACCAGCCAAGUCGCGUGAGGGAAGAAUGUCCUAUGGAUUGUAAACCUCUUUUAUCAGGGAGUAAAGUCACCCACGUGUGGGUGUUUGUGAGUACCUGAUGAAAAAGCAUCGGCUAACUCCGUGCCAGCAGCCGCGGUAAUACGGAGGAUGCGAGCGUUACCCGGAUUUAUUGGGUUUAAAGGGUGCGUAGGGGGAUUAUAAAGUCAGCGGUAAAAUCGUGGAGCUCACCUGCAUCCAGCCGUUGAAACUGAUGUUCUUGAGUGGGCGAGAAGUAUGCGGAAGGCGUGGUGUAGCGGUGAAAUGCAUAGAUAUCACGCAGAACUCCGAUUGCGAAGGCAGCAGACUGGCGCGCGACUGACGCUGAAGCACGAAAGCGUGGGUAUCGAACAGGAUUAGAUACCCCGGUAGUA